UACGAAGGGGGCUAGCGUUGCUCGGAAUUACUGGGCGUAAAGCGCACGUAGGCGGAUCGUUAAGUCGGGGGUGAAAUCCUGGAGCUCAACUCCAGAACUGCCUUCGAUACUGGCGAUCUUGAGUCCGGAAGAGGUGAGUGGAACUCCUAGUGUAGAGGUGGAAUUCGUAGAUAUUAGGAAGAACACCAGUGGCGAAGGCGGCUCACUGGUCCGGUACUGACGCUGAGGUGCGAAAGCGUGGGGAGCAA
This 248-nucleotide ribosomal RNA is filed under the name uncultured bacterium. Its description in RNAcentral is "partial 16S ribosomal RNA". It matches the Rfam family "Bacterial small subunit ribosomal RNA", at positions 524 to 771 of the family's 1533-position model. The record is from RNAcentral.